RNAcentral lists this ribosomal RNA (253 nucleotides) under uncultured bacterium. Its description in RNAcentral is "partial 16S ribosomal RNA". It matches the Rfam family "Bacterial small subunit ribosomal RNA", at positions 524 to 776 of the family's 1533-position model. The record is from RNAcentral.
UACAGAGGGUGCAAGCGUUAAUCGGAAUUACUGGGCGUAAAGCGCGCGUAGGUGGUUCGUUAAGUUGGAUGUGAAAUCCCCGGGCUCAACCUGGGAACUGCAUUCAAAACUGGCGAGCUAGAGUAUGGUAGAGGGUGGUGGAAUUUCCUGUGUAGCGGUGAAAUGCGUAGAUAUAGGAAGGAACACCAGUGGCGAAGGCGACCACCUGGACUGAUACUGACACUGAGGUGCGAAAGCGUGGGGAGCAAACAGG